Molecule: ribosomal RNA, 600 nt
Filed under: uncultured bacterium
Lineage: Bacteria
Description: bacterial SSU rRNA
Rfam family: Bacterial small subunit ribosomal RNA
Source: RNAcentral
AGUGGCGAACGGGUGAGUAGAGCAUCGGACGUGCCUGGAAUGGGGGAUAACGUAGCGAAAGUUACGCUAAUACCGCAUAUUCUGUGAGCAGGAAAGCAGGGGAUCGCAAGACCUUGCGUUCUGGGAGCGGCCGAUGUCGGAUUAGCUAGUUGGUGGGGUAAAGGCCUACCAAGGCGACGAUCCGUAACGGGUCUGANAGGAUGAUCCGCACACUGGGACUGAGACACGGCCCAGACUCCUACGGGAGGCAGCAGUGGGGAAUUUUGGACAAUGGGCGCAAGCCUGAUCCAGCCAUGCCGCGUGAGUGAAGAAGGCCUUCGGGUUGUAAAGCUCUUUCGGCCGGGAAGAAAUCGCAUGGGUCAAUACCCUGUGUGGAUGACGGUACCGGAAUAAGAAGCACCGGCUAACUACGUGCCAGCAGCCGCGGUAAUACGGAGGGUGCAAAGCGUUAUCCGGAUUUAUUGGGUUUAAAGGGUCCGUAGCGGAUCUGUAAGUCAGUGGUGAAAUCUCACAGUUAACUGUGAAAUUGCAUUGAUACUGCAGGUCUUGAGUGUUGUGAAGUAGCUGGAAUAAGUAGUGUACGGGUGAAAUGCUUAGAUU